Solanum dulcamara is the source of this 1631-nucleotide long non-coding RNA. RefSeq lists it as uncharacterized. The record is from RefSeq and is a predicted model, not a curated record. The transcript is spliced from 2 exons. Lineage: Eukaryota; Viridiplantae; Streptophyta; Magnoliopsida; Solanales; Solanaceae.
GUGCUUCUGAGCUAGCUUUUUCAUGCUUUGCUCCUCUAGUUUGCUCUCAUUUUUCUAUCAGUGCAUUCAUUUCAAGGGAUGUUAUAUCGGUACAGGUACUACGUCUAAUUCUUCAAAAUGAGCUAAAUAUUAGUAAAAAACAGCACAUACCAUACUGUAUACUUGGACACAACUAAUAUCAGGAAGGUACCCUUAAAUGAGUCCAUGUAACAUAGGCCAAUACUAGUUUAGUCCCGUUCAUUAAAAUUGUCCUCUAUUUGGUGUUUUGUCUUCCAAUAUUCUGUACAUGCGGUGAAGUUAAUGCAAACUUUGUCUCUUAACUUAUCUGACCAAACAAUUGACUUGUCAUUUUAAUUUUGUACAUAAGAAAUGAAUAAAGCAUUUGCUGGUUGUAUACUUGUUUUCACCAACAUGAACUUGACCUGGCAUUGAGGUAAUAAUUUCUCUUCACUUUUAUAUAAUUGAGGUUCUUUGUUCCAAGUCUAGACUAGUUAUUAGUGUUAAUAGAAGAAAGUGCAUCUCUUUGUUUACCUGAACUUGGAGAUUAGUUGCUCAUUUUGUGGGUUGCUCUUAUCUUGUGAGUAAUAUGUUGGCAUGGGAGAAGAUCAGAGCAAUUAAAUUGUUUCAGCAUCAAGUCCGAAGCAGCCUUAGAUUAUGUUUUUCUGACCAGAAAUCCCAUUAGGUCAAGUUUUCUUCUUUAUAUGAUAAGUCAAGUUCACUUCACUAAUAACACCUCAAGAUGAUGUCCAAAGAUUUACGAAGUGAGUGAGUGGCUAAAUAACAUUUAUCAAUCAAGUUUACAAUCUAGGGAUGAAGGUACUCAUUCUUUACCUAAAAUAAGAAGGGAAUAAAAAGGAUUUUAAUACAUUUGGAAUAAUUUCCUACUAUUCUCAUUACAAAUUGUCAAAAGCACACAAUGUUAUGGUCUUCCAAAUUUCUGUGUUCUCCUUGCUAAAUCUCUGCCAUCUCCAUUUGGUUAUUGUCUCCUUCACCAUUCUUGUAACACCCAAGCCAUCUCACAGAUAGAGUUUGAGAUUCCAAUUUGUUCAAGUUCUUAACCUAUAGGAACUGAAAUUUUCUUCUGAUCAGAGAUUUCAAGUGACAAUCUAUGUUAAGCAAGAGGGACCAUUAGUUAUGUUGGAUGCAUUCAGAUUAAUGGACCAAAAUUGUCCCUUUUAUUUGGCUUUAGACUCGAAAUUAUCCUUCUUAUUUACUGUGGAACACUAAUAGUCCUCCUUUGCCAAAUUGGUGCACUUCCAGUCCACCCCAAACGUCUGUCUCCUGAUUUAACUUGAAGGUUGUACUCGUACAGAUAAUGCGCAACAUUUUUUAUCAGUGAAAGUGAAAAAAAAAUGUCUUGCUGCUCUGUUUUCGCAUCAAAUCCAUCUGAAGCCUACUUUGGAAAAAUCCCCAAACCAAAAGGUGUUUAUUUUUAAGAACAUAGGAGAAAAGAGCAUAUGGAGAUCGUUGAGAAGCUGAAAGAGAAAGAAGAAAAGAUGAUGGCACAAGAGGAAGUUCAGACUGAGAAACAUAAAGGGGUAAAAAGAGGAUCAAAUUGUCUUGCCAGAGUUCAUUCGGUUACUAAGUUCAUGCUUGCUUUGUUGUAACAAUAAGAUGGAAGUUGAAUGGAA